RNA transcript from Sycon ciliatum, 7451 nucleotides. It is a transcript of the gene named rap guanine nucleotide exchange factor 1-like, with no coding region annotated. Lineage: Eukaryota; Metazoa; Porifera; Calcarea; Leucosolenida; Sycettidae. The record is from RefSeq and is a predicted model, not a curated record. The transcript is spliced from 2 exons.
GGAGUUUCAGUUUUCUUAUCCUAAUGGUACGUCUGACGACGAUCAAGUCCAAUCCUUGUUGCUCUGUGUCUAAUGUCAGUAACAAUUAAUCCAGUAAUGAUAGAGCUACAAUUGUAGAGCUCUCUCGACUCAGUAUUUUGUGAGUGGCAAUCAGGCCGGGAAAUUCAAACUGUAUUUAUGCCACCACAAACUGGUGCCGAAACCCGGGAUUUGAUAAUUUAGAGCCAUGAGCUCCCCGGCUGUUACUUCGAGACUUUCUCCGAAGCAGAGAACUGACAAGAAGUUAUUGGACAGAAAACAUGCUGACCUGGAAAAGGACCUUGAGAAGUCAGAUGAAUUCUCAGCGUACCGAACAACUCCCAACGAUCAACUGGAAGACGCCAUAGCAAAGCUAAGUCCUUUUUUGAUUGAAUUUCGUACCUCUGUCUCUUCUUAUGGGAAGGUGUGUGAAUCAUUUGGGGAUAGUCUGUCAAACCCUGCGGAAGACGUUGAGGCUGCUGUUGACUGGCACCUAGACCAAUUUGUCCAACUUGAGAGACGAGUCCUCUCUUUGAAUGCUACCCUCUCGUACUUGGAGAGCAGACGCCCCUCAACUCAAAAUGUACAACAGCAAGUACCCUCGCAGGAUGCUGCCACAGCAGCACUCAUUAGCACCAUGGAAUCUUUGAUAAAGGUCCAGACCAGUCAGCAACAACAGCAAUCAGGUCCAAGUACCAGUACUAAUUCUAAGACCACAGCCAAUGUUUCGUUACCGAAACUUUCAUUGCCUACGUUUGAUGGGAAUGUCAUGAAGUAUGCUGAAUUCUCAGAUAUGUUCCGUUCUUGUGUUGAUAAUAACUCACUGUUAUCUAAUGCCGAAAAGCUCACGUAUCUCAAGUCUUGCCUCAGGGGGGAUGCACUAGACGCAGUGUCUGGUUUCCUAUGUACGGAUACAAACUACCAACCUGUUGUCGAUAUCUUACAAGAAAGAUUUGGUAAUACUGAACGGGUCAUUCAUGCUCGUUACACUGCACUCAUGGGUAUCCCUGCUUGUUCAAACAAAACCCAGUCCAUCAGGUCAUUCUACGACCAAGUUGAAGAGCAGUUACGCUCCUUGCAAGCAUGUGGACAGGAUAUCAACCAAAGUGUAUUUGUAUCGAUGAUAUUGUCAAAGCUUCCCCAGCAUGUUGUUCUCCAGUUGGAGUUGAAGAAAGUUAAAGUUCACUGGUCGGUGAAAGAUCUCCGCAAAGCAAUUCAGGAAUAUCUCAUGGCCAAAGAAGCAGCAGAGGCACAGUCCUCACUGGCCACACCAAAUCCGCCGAAACAUACGGAACACAAACCGAGAUCAACGGCAAAUCAGUCUGCUGCUGUUUUGUUAGGCAAUUCACGUCCCACCGAACGGCAACCACGGUGUCACUUUUGUCAAGGCAAACACUUUUCUGACGAAUGCAGUACAUACACGUCUGUCGAUAGUCGAAAAGCCAAGCUGAAUGACCAGUGUUUCCGGUGCCUCCGAAAGGGACACCCAGCGCGAGCGUGCUCUAUUUCUCGUCUUUGCUAUCAUUGCAGACAACCCCAUCACCGUAGCCUGUGUCCGCAAAAGUUUGCAACAAGCGCAUCCACUCUGAAUGCUGAUGCCGAGGCGUACGCUCCACAGCAUACUUUAAUAGCACUAGGCGAGCACACUUUCAUGCAGACGGCAGUCACUACAGCACAUCAUGGAACCGGACAGUGUGAAGUACGGAUUCUUUUUGACACUGGCGCAACUAGGUCAUUCAUCACAUCUAAGGCACGUGACAUUCUUAGCUCACCGACGAUCCGCAAGGACACCUUAGCGACAUCAGGCUUCGGUAGCUCCGACAGAAGAAUUCAGUGUCUAGAUGCCACGGAAGUACUUAUCAAGAUAGCAGAUGGAUCGAAAAUGCCACUGUCACUAAAUGUUGUACCGGUCAUUUCCAGCCCGAUUUUGAAAGUGCCGGUAGUCGCGAAGAACCGCCCUGAACUAGCAGGCUUCCGUCUAGCUGAACCGUUGUGUGAGUCAGAAGAACGUGUCAGCAUUGAUAUACUGAUAGGAGGAGAUUACUACUAUGACAUUCUCCUUAGUGACCGAGUAACCUUCUCCGAUGGACUCAUUCUCCUCAAUUCAAAGCUAGGCUACAUCCUCGCAGGCAAGUCAUCAGAGAAGUGCAGCGAGGCCCAAACCCUGUUCGUGGAUAGCGAAACGCCUGAUCCACUCCAGCGAUUUUGGGCUAUAGAAGACGACACAACCACAGUAAAUGCUUCAACUAGCGACACUGAAGCCAUGCAUGCUUUUGAAGAUAGUAUCACUCAAGACAACAACGGAAGGUAUGUCGUCAAGUGGCCUUGGCGCUCUAACUCGCCUCCACUACCGAACAACUUCGGUCUUGCAUACGGUCGCCUGAACUCACUACUCAACCGUCUCAGGCAGGAACCGUCGAAGCUUCGAGCCUACAAUGACAUCCUUGCGGAACAGCUAAAGCUAGGUGUAAUCGAGGAAGUCGACAGUCAAGGAAGCCAGUUUCUCACCCAUUACUUGCCGCAUCACUGCGUCGCAAAGGAUAGCACUACGACAAAGCUCCGUCUUGUAUACGACGCUUCCGCGAAGUCGUCUCCGAACAAUCCAUCACUAAAUGAAUGUCUUCACCGCGGUCCAGUACUGUUACCAGAUCUCGCCGGCGUUCUUUUGAGGUUCCGCCUUGAACCCAUCGCUGUCUCUAGUGAUGUAGAGAAAGCAUUUCUCCAACUUUCACUCGCUAACGAAGAUCGAGACGUCACGAGAUUCCUAUGGGUUCGAGAUCCUUUCCAGCCACCCGCUGGAGGAAACAUCAUCACGUAUCGCUUUUGUCGAGUACCAUUCGGAGUUAUCUCGAGCCCUUUCUUGCUCGGAGCUACCAUCCAACACCACCUUGAAUCAUCCGGUAGCCCAGAGGCAUCCAACAUCAUGCAGAAUACGUAUGUUGACAACGUCCUUCUUGGUGUAGACUCCGUCUCGACUGGUAUCAACCUCUACCAUCACGCCAAGUCAGUCUUCGCCGAUGCCUCCAUGAACCUCAGACAGUGGUCCUCUAACUCAGCAGCCCUCAUAGAGAGCAUCCCAGAAUCAGAUCGUGCGUCUGGCGAACACCAGAAGGUCCUUGGGCUAGAUUGGCACACUGUUACUGAUCACCUCAAAGUAGCAAACACAUCAGCGUCGGACACACUAGUCCGAACCAAGCGCGAGUUACUUCAGGCCGUAGCUCAGUUCUUCGAUCCACUUGGCAUCCAUUCGCCCAUCGUCGUGAAGGCCAAGCUACUCUUACAGGAAGUGUGGCGGCAGAAGCUCCAAUGGGACGAAGCACUCCCAGUUUCUAUUCUCCACACGUGGAAAACUCUCGCUGCAGAACUCGACGAUGCUACAAAUCACAGCAUCCCACGUCCAUGCUGCAUUCCAGAAGCCGACCAACACACACUUCAUGUCUUCUGCGAUGCUUCGCAAACUGCCUAUGCUGCAGUUGCAUACUUGUCAUCAUCGUCCGGAUCUGCUACUGAAUCGCACCUCAUUCUUAGUAGAUCUAAGUUAGCUCCGCUCAAGCCCUCUCCGAAGUUAACCAUCCCAAAGUUGGAACUCAUGGCAGCAGCACUUGGUGCUGAUCUCAUCGCCUUCUUGAAAAAGCAGCUCCCGAUUAAUCUUGAUCACAUUAUUCUAUGGUCCGAUUCUACAUGUGUGCUAGGAUGGAUCAACAGUCGCAAGGACUUACCUUCCUUUGUCCAGCGUCGAGUCGCUCGGAUACGUAAAUCUGAAGCCGAGUACCGCUACGUUCCUUCGCGAGACAAUCCAGCUGAUCUCCCGUCGCGAGGAACAUCUUCUCACCUCUCCGAAGAGUCCAUCUGGUGGCACGGCCCAGAGUGGUUGCAGAACCCACUCGUUCCAGAACCUGAACAGCCCAAUACGGAAGAAUCGAGGUCUCCGUCCAAAAAAAAAGGAGUUAGUCCACCCUCGGUUUCAUUACAUCCGCUCAAAAAAAAGGGUGUAGUGAUCCUAUUGAAGCUGUCUCUCUUGUUGUUGGGGAAGAUCCUUCGGAACCAUUUGAUCUAAGCGCGUCGGACUUCUCAACAAUGGGUCGACUUGUGCGUGUCACAGCAUGGGCUCAGCGUUUCAUCCGAAACUGCAGAAAAUCAGCAACCAAGAAACUUAAAGAUCAGCUCACUGUUUCCGAACUGUGUAGUGCACGCAACCUGUGGCUGCAGUCAUCCCAGAGAAACCACUGUACCGACGUAGUAUCAGCCAUCCGGGAACAAAGGAAGAACAACACCGUACAGUCUCUUCGUCUCUACAUCGACGACAGAGGACUCAUCCGAAGCCGUGGAAGACUUGAACAUGCGAACCUUCCACCUAGCUCUAAGUUCCCCAUUUUCUUGCCUCAUAACUCAGCUGUAACACGCCUGCUCGUCGAAGAGCAUCACCGCAUCCUCAUGCAUCCUGGAGUGUCGCAUACUCUUGCUAGUAUAAGGGAGAAGUACUGGAUCCCUAAAGGCCGCAGUACCGUAAAGACCAUCCUAAAAAAGUGCAUCACAUGCCGUCGAGCUGAAGGUGGUCCGUUUGACAUGCCAGCAAUGGCUCCAUUACCACCGGAAAGAGUCAACGUAGCAGAAGCAUUCCUAUACACCGGCGUCGACUACUUUGGUCCUCUCUUCGCGAAGACAGCUGAAGCAUCGGUAAAGGUUUGGGUAGCCCUCUUCACAUGCCUAUCAACACGCGCAGUCCAUCUCGAGCUUGUCACGGAUAUGUCUUCAGAGCAAUUUCUACUAGCCUUCCGCCGUUUCGUAUCACGUAGAGGUGUGCCCAGAGCGAUGUGGUCAGACAACGCGCCACAGUUUAAAAUGACGAAGACAACCCUCGACAAGGCUUGGAAGGAGGUGAUCAGCGACCCAGCAGUAGCCGACACCAUCACGGCACGCGGCACCGACUGGCACUUUAGUGUGCAGCACGCCCCUUGGAUGGGUGGAAUUUAUGAGCGAAUGGUAGGGCUUGUGAAACGCGCUCUCCGCAAGACUGUCAGAUCAGCCCACCUGACCCCAGACCAGUUGCGGACAUUUCUUACUGAAGCGGAGGCCGCAGUUAACAGUCGGCCUCUCGUUUACGUGGGGGGAGACACACCUAUGGCUAGCACUGAUGUGAUCACACCUUCCCACUUUCUAUCUUUAAAACCUAAUUUAAUGUUUCCUGAGUUAAUUGAUGAACAGAAUAUCUACCCAGACUUUUUGUGUCGCCUUUCUUCUGCCUCUUCUUUGUUACAGGGGUGGAAGAAAGGCCAAGCCCUCGUCAAGGACUUCUGGACAACUUGGCAACGGGACUACCUGCUAAGUCUCAGAGAGCGCACCAGUGCUGGACGCCACAAGCGAGGCACAGAAACCUACGUACCCAGAGUCGGACAGCCGGUCCUCAUGGGUGACAGCCAACCACGCGGCACGUGGAAGCUAGGCGUAGUCCAAACCAUCCACACGGGGAAGGACAACGUCACUAGGUCUGUGACACUCAGGACCACUACAGGCAAGUCGUUGCAGCGCCCAGUUAGUACCCUGUAUCCACUAGAAUGUGAGUUACCCGAUAGUGUGGAUGUAACAUGUGAGGAUGUACCUUCACCAACCCCAGUACCAUCUCAAGAUGUGCAUACACCUGCUGUUGAUGUAGCGUCCACCAUUAAUACCAGACCGCAGCGCAGAACUGCAACACAGAGCCGGCGUCAAACGGUCGCUCUGAGAGACUCCAAUCUUGUGUAAACACCACUCGUUCGAGUCAGGUUACAAUAACACGGAUGAUUUCUUGCAAUAUGUCAAGCUGAGAACCAAUCUCAGACAAUCCGUUUGCUUUCAGCUCUCCCAUGUAUUCUUGCUAUUUCAGUCAGAUUCUCAGUCGCAGUAUUUCAGUCAUACUGCUUUCUGCUCUCCCAUGUAUUGCUAUUUCAGUCAGAUUCUCAGUCGCAGUAUUUCAGUCAUACUGCUUUCAGCUCUCCCAUGUAUUCUUUGCUAUUUCAGUCAGAUUCUCAGUUGCAGUAUUUCAGUCAUACUGCUUUCAGCUCUUCCAUGUAUUCUUGCUAUUUCAGUCGGAUUCUCAGUCGCAGUAUUUCAGUCUUACUGCUUUCAGCUCAUGCUACGUCAGUGUAGCUUCCGAUCCCCUUUAUAUUAUGGCUAUUUCAGUCUAGGUCUUAGUCAGACUAUUGUCAACUGUACUGCCUACAGUUUCAGCGGCUGUGUGUUCGCUCAAAUUCAGUUUUUUCUUCUUUCGUUCUUACGCUGCCUUCAAGCAGCUCAGCCUAGUUCUCAGUUUUCAGGUGUACUUGCCUACACUUCGAUAAGUAACUUCAGUCCCAAGUCACUUGGACUCAGUGUCAGUACUCGCAAAGUUUUCAGUUACAACCGCUUUGCCUCAGCACAAUUUAGAAUUUCUUUCUUUCAUUUUCUACCUUUGUUGCAUUCACCACAUUUUUUCUCUCUUGCUGUCUCGGGAGUGUCGCGAAUUCGAUAUUAAGUAACAUUCGCGAAUGCUAAAAUAACUCAGUUUGAAUGUUUCACGUAACUUUUCUCCUUUUUUUGUCUAUCGCCAUAUUUGCCAUGGCGAUGUGCAGUGCUGGCAGUUUUUCAUGCGCAUGCUUUGAUCCUUUGGCGAUCAUCUUUUUGCUUGCUGACUACACUCGAGGAGUUUCAGUUUUCUUAUCCUAAUGGUACGUCUGACGACGAUCAAGUCCAAUCCUUGUUGCUCUGUGUCUAAUGUCAGUAACAAUUAAUCCAGUAAUGAUAGAGCUACAAUUGUAGAGCUCUCUCGACUCAGUAUUUUGUGAGUGGCAAUCAGGCCGGGAAAUUCAAACUGUAUUUAUGCCACCACAGCCUGCGCCGAUGGUGCUUGAAACAUCAAGCAUGGUAUGUGGUUCACAGAGCGGGGAGAUGCUCUUGCUGCUAUCUUAUCUGUCCUGUGUAUUCCCAAGUGCCGAAGGCUCACAACGAUGGUGUUGGACAAGUAAGAUAAAAUAGAGUCAACAUCGUCACAUGGUGCUGUGACCAAGAUACGGAUCAUGCCGAACGCUGAUUCAACUGGACGAAUCGAGAGGCUUUUCAGAUGCAGGGACACAAUGGAAACUGAACGACUUCAGAACAGCACUGAAGCGUUAUGUUAUCAUGCAAGACGCCUUUCUGCGCCGCACAAACACAGGCGGUACUACAGCAGAAGAUGUCACUCACUAUUAUGCAGGUGCACUGGUGACAGGCGCAUGCAAGUUCACGAGAAGAAAGCGGUCUGAUGGUAACUGGAAUGCCAGCAGUAUGAGAGGGUGUGCAUUCUGCGGCGGAUCUCACCUGGACAAGAGCUGCGCGAAAUACACAACAGUAGCACAGCGGAAAGAAUAACUGAUGGAACAGAAGCGUUGCUUUGUGUGUUUGCGCACAGGGCGCCGGUCAACUCAGUGCAAGGCCACCCG